AGCAGCCGCGGUAAUUCCAGCUCCAAUAGCGUAUAUUAAAGUUGUUGCAGUUAAAAAGCUCGUAGUUGAAUUUCGGGAUCAGUACGCCGGUCGUGCCUCCGGUAUGUACUGGUGUCACUGAUUCCUCCCUUCUGAAGAACCAUCAUGCCAUUCAUUUGGUGUGGUGGGGAAUCAGGACUGUUACUUUGAAAAAAUUAGAGUGUUUAAAGCAGGCUCACGCUUGAAUACAUUAGCACGGAAUAAUGAAAUAGGACGUUGAUCUUAUUUUGUUGGUUUCUAGGAUUGACGUAAUGAUUAAUAGGGAUAGUUGGGGGCAUUAGUAUUCAAUUGUCAGAGGUGAAAUUCUUGGAUUUAUUGAAGACUAACUACUGCGAAAGCAUUUGCCAAGGAUGUUUUCAUUAAUCAAGAACGAAAGUUAGGGGAUCGAAGACGAUCAGAUACCGUCGUAGUCUUAACCAUAAACUAUGCCGACUAGGGAUCGGAUGAUGUAAUUUUUAAUGA
This 501-nucleotide ribosomal RNA is filed under the name uncultured Glomus. Its description in RNAcentral is "SSU rRNA". It matches the Rfam family "Eukaryotic small subunit ribosomal RNA", at positions 569 to 1075 of the family's 1831-position model. Lineage: Eukaryota; Fungi; Glomeromycota; Glomeromycetes; Glomerales; Glomeraceae. The record is from RNAcentral.